UCCGGUUUGUCACCGGCAGUCCCCCAUGAGUCCCCGGCGUUACCCGCUGGCAACAUGGGGCGGGGGUUGCGCUCGUUGCGGGACUUAACCCAACACCUCACGGCACGAGCUGACGACAGCCAUGCAGCACCUGUGCUAGCUCCCCGAAGGGUCCUUCACGUUUCUGAUCCGUACCACUAGCAUGUCAAGCCCUGGUAAGGUUUUUCGCGUUGCAUCGAAUUAAUCCACAUAAUCCACCGCUUGUGCGGGUCCCCGUCAAUUCCUUUGAGUUUUAACCUUGCGGCCGUACUCCCCAGGCGGUCAAUUUCACGCGUUAGCUUCGUUACCAAGGAAUUGCUUCCCCGACAACCAGUUGACAUAGUUUAGGGCGUGGACUAC
This 378-nucleotide unclassified non-coding RNA is filed under the name uncultured Gammaproteobacteria bacterium. RNAcentral describes it as "contains 16S-23S intergenic spacer region". Lineage: Bacteria; Pseudomonadati; Pseudomonadota; Gammaproteobacteria. The record is from RNAcentral.